Molecule: ribosomal RNA, 487 nt
Filed under: uncultured bacterium
Lineage: Bacteria
Description: partial 16S ribosomal RNA
Rfam family: Bacterial small subunit ribosomal RNA
Source: RNAcentral
GAUAAACGCUGGCGGCGCACAUAAGACAUGCAAGUCGAACGGACUUAUCUCAUUCUUUUAGAUUGAGAGCGGUUAUUGGCGGACUGGUGAGUAACACGUAAGCAACCUGCCUAUCGGAGGGGAAUAACAGUGAGAAAUCAUUGCUAAUACCGCAUAAGCUAGCAGCAUCGCAUGAUGUAGCUAGAAAAGGAGUAAUCCGCUGAUAGAUGGGCUUGCGUAUGAUUAGCUAGUUGGUGGGGCAACGGCCUACCAAGGCGACGAUCAGUAGCCGGACUGAGAGGUUGAACGGCCACAUUGGGACUGAGAUACGGCCCAGACUCCUAAGGGAGGCAGCAGUCGGGAAUAUUGCGCAAUGGAGGAAACUCUGACGCAGUGACGCCGCGUAUAGGAAGAAGGUUUUCGGAUUGUAAACUAUUGUCGUGAGGGAAGAAAUUGACAGUACCUCAGGAGGAAGCUCCGGCUAACUAUGUGCCAGCAGCCGCAGUAA